RNAcentral lists this ribosomal RNA (873 nucleotides) under uncultured Fibrobacterota bacterium. Its description in RNAcentral is "bacterial SSU rRNA". It matches the Rfam family "Bacterial small subunit ribosomal RNA", at positions 58 to 946 of the family's 1533-position model. The record is from RNAcentral. Lineage: Bacteria; Pseudomonadati; Fibrobacterota.
CAAGUCGAGCGCCCCGCAAGGGGAGCGGCGGACGGGUGAGUAACACGUAAAGAAUCUGCCCUGAAGCGGGGAAUAACUAUCCCAACGGAUAGCUAAUACCGCAUAAUGAUGGAGGUGGCAUCACCUCUUCUCAAAAGGCUUCGGCCACUUCAGGAUGACUUUGCGUCCCAUUAGCUUGUUGGCGGUGUAACGGACCACCAAGGCGACGAUGGGUAUCCGGCCUGAGAGGGUGUACGGACACAUUGGGACUGAGAUACGGCCCAGACUCCUACGGGAGGCAGCAGUAGGGAAUUUUGCGCAAUGGGGGAAACCCUGACGCAGCAACGCCAUGUGUGGGAUGAAGCAUUUCGGUGUGUAAACCACUGUCAGCAGGGAAUAAAAGGCCUUAUAGGCAUUUGAAUGUACCUGCGAAGGAAGCCCCGGCUAACUUCGUGCCAGCAGCCGCGGUAAUACGAGGGGGGCAAAUGUUGUUCGGAAUCACUGGGCGUAAAGGGAGCGUAGGCGGGUUCUUAAGUAAGGUGUUUAAUCCCGGGGCCCAACCCCGGACCGGCACUUUAAACUGGGAAUCUUGAAUAGUGGAGAGGUCAGUGGAAUUGGGGGUGUAGCGGUGGAAUGCGUAGAGAUCCCCAAGAACACCAGUUGCGAAGGCGGCUGACUGGACACAUAUUGACGCUGAGGCUCGAAAGCAUGGGGAGCAAACAGGAUUAGAUACCCUGGUAGUCCAUGCCAUAAACGAUGAAUACUAGGUUUUGGGCCCGUCAACGGUCCAGAGCCGCAGCUAACGCGUUAAGUAUUCCGCCUGGGGAGUACGGUCGCAAGACUGAAACUCAAAGGAAUUGACGGGGGCCCGCACAAGCGGUGGAGCAUGUGGUU